Molecule: ribosomal RNA, 274 nt
Filed under: uncultured Eubacteriales bacterium
Lineage: Bacteria; Bacillati; Bacillota; Clostridia; Eubacteriales
Description: uncultured Clostridiales bacterium partial 16S ribosomal RNA
Rfam family: Bacterial small subunit ribosomal RNA
Source: RNAcentral
AAGCACUACGGUGUGGAGACUGCGGACUCAGCGGCGGACGGGUGAGGAACGCGUGGGUAACCUGCCCUAUACAGGGGGAUACCGUGUAGAAAUGCACGCUAAAACCGCAUAAGCUACCGAAGUCGCAUGACAUUGGUGGAAAAACUGAGGUGGUAUAGGAUGGGCCCGCGUCUGAUUAGCUAGUUGGAGAGGUAAAGGCUCCCCAAGGCGACGAUCAGUAGCCGGUCUGAGAGGAUGGACGGCCACAUUGGGACUGAGACACGGCCCAAACUCC